This 655-nucleotide ribosomal RNA is filed under the name Natrialba chahannaoensis. RNAcentral's name for it is "bacterial SSU rRNA". It matches the Rfam family "Archaeal small subunit ribosomal RNA", at positions 516 to 1172 of the family's 1478-position model. The record is from RNAcentral. Lineage: Archaea; Methanobacteriati; Methanobacteriota; Halobacteria; Halobacteriales; Natrialbaceae.
AGACGGUGCUGGCGCACAGUCUAUCGGGAAUCUCUCCGCUUACGGAGAGGCGUCCGGUGGAACUGUGUGGCUUGGGACCGGAAGACCAGAGGGGUACGUCUGGGGUAGGAGUGAAAUCCCGUAAUCCUGGACGGACCACCGGUGGCGAAAGCGCCUCUGGAAGACGGAUCCGACGGUGAGGGACGAAAGCUCGGGUCACGAACCGGAUUAGAUACCCGGGUAGUCCGAGCUGUAAACGAUGUCUGCUAGGUGUGACACAGGCUACGAGCCUGUGUUGUGCCGUAGGGAAGCCGUGAAGCAGACCGCCUGGGAAGUACGUCCGCAAGGAUGAAACUUAAAGGAAUUGGCGGGGGAGCACUACAACCGGAGGAGCCUGCGGUUUAAUUGGACUCAACGCCGGACAUCUCACCAGCAUCGACAAUGUGCAGUGACGGUCAGUAUGAUGAGCUUACCUGAGCCAUUGAGAGGAGGUGCAUGGCCGCCGUCAGCUCGUACCGUGAGGCGUCCUGUUAAGUCAGGCAACGAGCGAGACCCGCACCCUUAAUUGCCAGCAGCACCCUUGUGGUGGCUGGGUACAUUAAGAGGACUGCCAGUGCCAAACUGGAGGAAGGAACGGGCAACGGUAGGUCAGUAUGCCCCGAAUGUGCUGGGGCGA